Molecule: long non-coding RNA, 1749 nt
Organism: Lynx canadensis (Canada lynx)
Lineage: Eukaryota; Metazoa; Chordata; Mammalia; Carnivora; Felidae
Source: Ensembl
GAAGGUUUAAACAAGAGGCUGUCUGUCUUUGUCCUCGAUUUAGCUCCCUCAACGGAGAGCUGAAGCAGCUAUAUACUGCUAUCACACGGGCCCGGGUCAACCUCUGGAUCUUUGAUGAAACCCAGAGAAGCGGGCUCCUGCUUUCAAAUAUUUCAUGAGAAGAAAUUUUGUCCAGGUUGUGAAAGACAGAUGAAAAUAAAGACUUUGAUGACAGCAUGUUUGUUAAGACCUCAACACCUGAGGAAUGGAUCGCGCAGGGAGAAUAUUAUGCUAAACACCAGUGCUGGAAGGUAAGUGCUGGACCAGGAGCCCGGGGGUGACGUCUUUGUGACCGGGGACCUCAUCGGGCCCCACAGGCGGGUUUCCCGCUCUCCAGCUUAUCACCAGGAUAGGGCAAAGGUUAUGGCUGUGGUGCUACUUCUUCCGAGACAUCAGGUCGCCCCGCGAUGAAGUGAGCUUCCUGUCCUGCUCCUUCCCCGGGGCGAGGGUGACAUCCCUUCCCUGUGGCCAAGUGCCAGCAUGUACCGAUAGGAAGAGGGAGUGUCGUGGCUUCUGCCCCACCCACAGACCCUUCUGUUAACUUUCUUUUCCUCCUGUGCUCUUCGUCUCCACUUUUUUUGCUGUCACCCCACCGCGUUUUAAAAUAGUAGCAGAUCGGGGCGCCUGGGUGGCGCGGUCGGUUAAGCGUCCGACUUCAGCCAGGUCACGAUCUCGCGGUCCGUGAGUUCGAGCCCCGCGUCGGGCUCUGGGCUGGUGGCUCAGAGCCUGGAGCCUGUUUCCGAUUCUGUGUCUCCUCUCUCUCUGCCCCUCCCCCGUUCAUGCUCUGUCUCUCUCUGUCCCAAAAAUAAAUAAACGUUGGAAAAAAAAAAUUAAAACAAAAAUAAAAUGGUAGCAGAUUGGGGGCGCCUGGUGGCUCAGUCGGUGGAGCGGCCGAUCUUGAUUUUCAGCGCCGGUCAUGAUCUCAUGAGCCAGUGAGAUGGUGAACCACGCUGACGGGGCAGAGCCUGCUUGGGUUUCUCUCUCUGCGCCCCUCCCCGUGUCUCUUUCUCCCAAAGGAAAUAGUAAAUAAACGUUAAAGGAAGUAAAACAGUAACAGGUUGGUCACUUGUCUCUCAAACUGAUCCGGCACAGACCUGACUGCCAGUCUGGGGCUAGUGAGAAUGGGUUAAGCUUUAUCACCAGACUGAGUUGACCAAUUCUGGGCCACGAGCCGCGUUGCCAAGCGUGAGCAGCCUUCCUCCGGGCCAUGUCAUCGCUGCCGGUCCUUUUGAAAUACUGAAGCCAGCGUGAGAAGCCCCAUCCCUCUCCCACGGGCAGCAUCCCUACACCUGACACGGUCUCAGGUGAGGCCCCAGGGCCCGUGUGUUUCCCGUGAUGCGGCGGUAACGAUGUCUCCACCUACAAGGCACAGACACCUUCGGCCCAACAAGCUCAUCUUGGGCCCCAUCUCAUUCCGUGUCUUCCCUGUGUCAUCUGCAGCUUGUCAGGUGACAUGAUGACUGCAGCAGGUGGCUAAGCAACCCAUCCUCCCCAGCAGCAACCCAAGCAGGGCUGAGGGCAGGCACUUUUCUUCUCAGGGGUCUCUUUCUUUAUCAGGAAGUCCCCCGUGGACUUCUUCUGACAUCUCACUGCUCGGUGCUAGGUCACGUGCCCACGCCUGGUGCAAGGGAGUCUGGGAGGGCAGUCCCAUCCUGCGGUCUCAGCCCUUCAUGGAAGGCAGGCUCUGCCGUGACGCACGGGAGGGAGCGG